UGAACACACAGGGAGCUGCCUGCCUCUGC
Molecule: non-coding RNA, 29 nt
Filed under: Rattus norvegicus (Norway rat)
Lineage: Eukaryota; Metazoa; Chordata; Mammalia; Rodentia; Muridae
Source: RNAcentral